Molecule: non-coding RNA, 2808 nt
Organism: Microcebus murinus (gray mouse lemur)
Lineage: Eukaryota; Metazoa; Chordata; Mammalia; Primates; Cheirogaleidae
Source: RefSeq, a predicted model, not a curated record
GUGUUUAUGUGAUCUCCUUCUAAUUGGUAUUAGAGAGGAAUUCUGCUUCCUUUGGGCAUUAGGAAGAAAAUCAGAAAAGCAAACACGCUGAUUCUUGAUUUAGCUGAAAGCGAAAAUGACCUGAAUUCUGUACUUGAAAAGACUGGAAAAGGGAGCCUGACAACCCUCUCUCAGUCUCUUUUUCUCUUGCUCACUUUCUUCUUCUUCUUCUUUUUUUUUAACUUCCUUGCAGAAUGAGGCAUCGGUUUAGACAACUGGAUUCAAAGAUUAAUGAUCUCAAGGGUCUUCUGAAAGAGAUUGCUAAUAAAAUCAAAUAAAACUGCAUGAACCCUAAUGGAGAAAAAUCUCAUUAUAACAAGGUGAUAGCACGGAAUGAGGACGGACGGCUUUGCUGUUGAUGCUAAACUAGCGUCUGCCUUUCAGGCCUCUGGGUACAGAGCGGAUGUUUUCAGUCACCCCGGUGUGCUGAAAUCUGAGAGCAAGGCGUGCGGUUGACGUCACGCGUGACGCUGGACGCACAAGGAGAACAUCUCCUGCAACGCGCCUCUGCUGAAGGCGCCGGUUCUCUCUGUGGCGCCGUGCCCGGGCUGGCAGGCGGCUGUCGUGUUCUUGCAGCCUCCUUUUCCCUCAGUCUCGCUUCUGACCCCUGAAUAUCACAGGAGAACAUCGCUCCUGCGAACAAGAGGCUGGUCAUGCUUUCACUUCUGCAAUGCCACUUUGUUUAUUUCCAACUGAUUCUCUACUUUUCCCUUUGUUGUAUCGUGUGACUAAUUAGUUGGCAAAUUGUUAAAAGUCUCCCCGAUUAGGCCCGAUUCUAAAAUGUGCUAUAGCAAGAGGACCCUGCUCUUUUCAGAAAAAUUAUUUUUAUUUCUCACACUGCUUCUCACCUGUCGAAGGAGGUGAUAAAGCAGUGUCUUGCUCUCUUGCGCUGUCCAGAACUCCUAUGGAAGGAAGCACCCCAUUCCCUGCAAUGUGAAAAGUCACCCCAAAUGCAGCCCUGGGAGGCAUUACUGAUUUUGUUUUCACUGGGUGCUCCUCUUUCUCCUCUUAGUGUUUUUUCCACUAAAAAUAAUACAUGGAUAUUAUAGACGAUGUAGACUACACGCAGGUGUAGAAAGAACAUAAAUUGUCCACGCUACCUAAAGGGAAUCACUGCUAACAUUUCUGGGUGUCCUUCCAAGUCUAUUUUCUUCUAUGCAUGUUUUUGUUUCUUAUAAAAUUUUACAUACAUGUAAAAUGUAUACAUACAUGUCAUCAUCAUACUACAUAUGCAAUUUUAUAUAAGCUUUUUAACUUAACAUUUUAUCACAGUUUUCUGUAUAUUCGUGGUCUUCUUAAGCAUUAUAUCAAUACUUACUGUAAUAUCCAGCCGCUAGUGAUUUCCAUAACGUUGGUCAUUGAAAGCUAUUUCCAGUUGACCGUUGGAAUGAGUAUCUUCGUGUAUGAAUCUUGCUACUGCAUUGGGGAAAUUUUCCAAGGCUGGAAUCCAAGAAGGAUCUAUUGAUCAUCAAACCAUUUAUAGGACUUUUUCAUAAAUGUAUAGCAAAUAGGAAUUAUUAACUUGAGCAUAACAUAUAAUAUACAUAACCUACAACUAUUAAAGUAAAAUGUUACAUUUAAUAUUUAGUUUAGGAAGAAGCCAAUAUGCUUAUUUAAAUAUGGAUGGUGAUGGCAAUGGGACAGAAUUAGACCAUGUUACUGAACACUCCUAGCCCCAGCUUUCUCUGGAAGUCGUGGAGUCUGAGCUGGAAGCACAUAAGGCAAUUUAAAUGCUCAGAAUUAGUUCUUCGGUUUUGAUUGGACUAUAAACUCAGUGGCUGAAGAAGGAACUCUUAGGAGGAAGCUAUUAAAAGAUCGUCUAAUUAGAAAAACUACAAAAGCACUAACCAAAAAAAGUUUAUUUUCAUUUUGUCUGGGCAGUAGUUAAAACGGCUACUCACAACAUAGUGUUUUGCAGGGAAUGAACACAAAUAAAAGGUGUCUUUCUACUUAAACCUUAAUAAUGGCCUAAAAGGGAAUCUUAUUCAAUUGGGUCAAUCAAUUCAAGGUUUCAGAUGCUGAAAGUAGAUGGAGCAAAAUUUACAUGACAAAAAUUGUCAAUGAAUGGAAUAUUCAAAAUUUCUCUGCUUUUGAGAGAACAUCACUUUCAUUUCACCAUGGCAACUAAAAUAUCUGCCUUUUCUGAAACCACCAAGAAGAGGGUAAUAUCAUCUCUGUUCUGACUAGGAAAAUUAUACAUGGCAGCACAUCAGAUUGUGCAAAAACAAACAAUAGUCCCAACCUCAUACCCUCAAUUCAAGUAGGGAAUUUGAAUAAAAUUAUAAAAUUAAAUUUAAAACUUCACAGAAGACAAAAUGUAGCAUAAUCUAUUUUCUGAUCUCCCUUUAACAAAUUUGUCCAUAUAUUCGUAUUUCCUCUGACCAUGUUUCUCUGAGCUUCAGAAAUAGGACUUUGUGCAUAUCAUUAUCUGCAGCAAAAGAAAUCCUCUCAUUGCUACCAAAGACAGAAAACACGCACAACACUCAGAAUUCACUGCAUUGGAGAGGGACUUGUUAAGUGUUUUCAGCGUAGCCUGUCUGGUGGAUGUUUCUGCAUGGUUACUCUACCGGGUUUUUUCUUAUGCAAGGCCAUCAUUUUCUGUGUAGCUCAGAAAAAUACCACAUGUAUUAAACAUACCUCUAAUCAAAGGUGCUACGUCCUUGUGUAUGGGACUAAAGGUGUCCUGUGUACACUUGUGCACAACACUGAGAACCCUGUCGCUGGGUUUAAAUGAACGUGUUAACGAAUUAAACAAUGAAGGAACUGUCA